UACGUAGGGUCCGAGCGUUGUCCGGAAUUAUUGGGCGUAAAGAGCUCGUAGGCGGUCUGUCGCGUCGGCUGUGAAAACCCGGAGCUCAACUCCGGGCCUGCAGUCGAUACGGGCAGACUGGAGUUCGGCAGGGGAGACUGGAAUUCCUGGUGUAGCGGUGAAAUGCGCAGAUAUCAGGAGGAACACCGGUGGCGAAGGCGGGUCUCUGGGCCGAUACUGACGCUGAGGAGCGAAAGCGUGGGGAGCGAACAGG
Molecule: ribosomal RNA, 253 nt
Filed under: uncultured bacterium
Lineage: Bacteria
Description: partial 16S ribosomal RNA
Rfam family: Bacterial small subunit ribosomal RNA
Source: RNAcentral